RNAcentral lists this ribosomal RNA (253 nucleotides) under uncultured bacterium. RNAcentral's name for it is "partial 16S ribosomal RNA". It matches the Rfam family "Bacterial small subunit ribosomal RNA", at positions 524 to 776 of the family's 1533-position model. The record is from RNAcentral.
UACGAAGGGGGCUAGCGUUGCUCGGAAUCACUGGGCGUAAAGGGCGCGUAGGCGGAUCUUUAAGUCAGGGGUGAAAGCCUGUGGCUCAACCACAGAAUUGCCUUUGAUACUGGGGAUCUCGAGACCGGAAGAGGUGAGUGGAACUGCGAGUGUAGAGGUGAAAUUCGUAGAUAUUCGCAAGAACACCAGUGGCGAAGGCGGCUCACUGGUCCGGUUCUGACGCUGAGGCGCGAAAGCGUGGGGAGCAAACAGG